UACGAAGGGUGCAAGCGUUGCUCGGAAUCACUGGGCGUAAAGGGUGCGUAGGCGGGUCUUUAAGUCAGGGGUGAAAUCCUGGAGCUCAACUCCAGAACUGCCUUUGAUACUGAAGAUCUUGAGUUCGGGAGAGGUGAGUGGAACUGCGAGUGUAGAGGUGAAAUUCGUAGAUAUUCGCAAGAACACCAGUGGUGAAGGCGGCUCACUGGCCCGAUACUGACGCUGAGGCACGAAAGCUAGGGGAGCGAACGGG
RNAcentral lists this ribosomal RNA (253 nucleotides) under uncultured bacterium. RNAcentral describes it as "partial 16S ribosomal RNA". It matches the Rfam family "Bacterial small subunit ribosomal RNA", at positions 524 to 776 of the family's 1533-position model. The record is from RNAcentral.